GACGAACGCUGGCGGCGUGCUUAACACAUGCAAGUCGAACGAGGGCGUAGAGAAAGCUUGCUUUUUCUACAAUCUAGUGGCAAACGGGUGAGUAACGCGUAAACAACCUGCCCUACGGAUGGGGACAACAGCUGGAAACGGCUGCUAAUACCGAAUACGUUCCGAAAGUCGCAUGACUAUCGGAAGAAAGGAUGGCCUCUAUUUAUAAGCUAUCGCCGGAGGAGGGGUUUGCGUCUGAUUAGCUAGUUGGAGGGGUAACGGCCCACCAAGGCGACGAUCAGUAGCCGGUCUGAGAGGAUGAACGGCCACAUUGGAACUGAGACACGGUCCAGACUCCUACGGGAGGCAGCAGUGGGGAAUCUUCCGCAAUGGGCGAAAGCCUGACGGAGCAACGCCGCGUGAGUGAAGACGGCCUUCGGGUUGUAAAGCUCUGUUAUACGGGACGAAUAAUCUUGUGGUUAAUACCCAUGAGAAGUGACGGUACCGUAAGAGAAAGCCACGGCUAACUACGUG
This 513-nucleotide ribosomal RNA is filed under the name uncultured bacterium. Its description in RNAcentral is "partial 16S ribosomal RNA". It matches the Rfam family "Bacterial small subunit ribosomal RNA", at positions 28 to 507 of the family's 1533-position model. The record is from RNAcentral.